GAUGAAGAACGCAGCGAAAUGCGAUACGUAAUGUGAAUUGCAGAAUUCAGUGAAUCAUCGAGUCUUUGAACGCACAUUGCGCCCCCUGGUAUUCCGGGGGGCAUGCCUGUCCGAGCGUCAUUGCUGCCCUCAAGCACGGCUUGUGUGUUGGGCCUCCGUCCUCCUCCCGGGGGACGGGCCCGAAAGGCAGGGGCGGCACCGCGUCCGGUCCUCGAGCGUAUGGGGCUUCGUCACCCGCUCUUGUAGGCCCGGCCGGCGCUUGCCGACACAUCAAUCUUUUUUCCAGGUUGACCUCGGAUCAGGUAGGGAUACCCGCUGAACUUAAGCAUAUCAAUAAGCGGAGGA
This 345-nucleotide unclassified non-coding RNA is filed under the name soil metagenome. RNAcentral's name for it is "partial contains 5.8S ribosomal RNA, internal transcribed spacer 2, and large subunit ribosomal RNA". The stretch from base 1 to 120 matches the Rfam family "5.8S ribosomal RNA", at positions 35 to 154 of the family's 154-position model. The record is from RNAcentral.